AAUAUUGGACAAUGGGCGCAAGCCUGAUCCAGCCAUGCCGCGUGUGUGAAGAAGGCCUUCGGGUUGUAAAGCACUUUUGUCCGGAAAGAAAGCGAAUCGGCGAAUACCCGGUUUGGAUGACGGUACCGAAAGAAUAAGCACCGGCUAACUUCGUGCCAGCAGCUUCGGUAAGACGAAGGGGGCUAGCGUUGUUCGGAAUUACUGGGCGUAAAGCGCGUGUAGGCGGUUGUCAAAGUCGGGUGUGAAAGCCUUGAGCUCAACUCAAGAAAUGCACUCGAUACUGGGCGACUAGAGGACCGGAGAGGAUAGUGGAAUUCCCAGUGUAGUGGUGAAAUACGUAGAGAUUGGGAAGAACACCAGUGGCGAAGGCGGCUAUCUGGACGGUUACUGACGCUAAGACGCGAAAGCGUAGGGAGCAAACA
This 422-nucleotide ribosomal RNA is filed under the name uncultured bacterium. RNAcentral describes it as "bacterial SSU rRNA". It matches the Rfam family "Bacterial small subunit ribosomal RNA", at positions 360 to 774 of the family's 1533-position model. The record is from RNAcentral.